Molecule: ribosomal RNA, 497 nt
Filed under: uncultured bacterium
Lineage: Bacteria
Description: partial 16S ribosomal RNA
Rfam family: Bacterial small subunit ribosomal RNA
Source: RNAcentral
GAUGAACGCUGGCGGCGUGCCUAAUACAUGCAAGUCGAGCGAACAGACGAGGAGCUUGCUCCUCUGACGUUAGCGGCGGACGGGUGAGUAACACGUGGAUAACCUACCUAUAAGACUGGGAUAACUUCGGGAAACCGGAGCUAAUACCGGAUAAUAUAUUGAACCGCAUGGUUCAAUAGUGAAAGAGGGUUUUGCUGUCACUUAUAGAUGGAUCCGCGGCGCAUUGGCGAGUUGGUAAGGUAACGGCUUACCAAGGCAGCGAUGGGUAACCGACCCGGGGGGGGGUAGGCCGACACAGAGAGUGAGCCACCGUCCUGAGACCUAGGGGAGGCAGCGGCAGGGAAGCGUCGGAGAUGGGCGGAAGACUGAAGGAGCAGUGCCGGGUGGAUGAUGAAGGUCUGCGGAUCGGAAGACGCUGUUAUUGGUGAAAAACGAAUGUGUUCGUAACUAUGCACGGCUUGACGGUAGCGAGUAAGAAAGCCACGGCUAACUACGUG